This 459-nucleotide ribosomal RNA is filed under the name uncultured bacterium. Its description in RNAcentral is "partial 16S ribosomal RNA". It matches the Rfam family "Bacterial small subunit ribosomal RNA", at positions 338 to 795 of the family's 1533-position model. The record is from RNAcentral.
CCUACGGGGGGCAGCAGUGAGGAAUAUUGGUCAAUGGGCGCGAGCCUGAACCAGCCAAGUCGCGUGAGGGAAGACGGUCCUAUGGAUUGUAAACCUCUUUUGUCGGGGAGCAAAAGACGCCACGCGUGGCGUUCCGAGAGUACCCGAAGAAAAAGCAUCGGCUAACUCCGUGCCAGCAGCCGCGGUAAUACGGAGGAUGCGAGCGUUAUCCGGAUUUAUUGGGGUUAAAGGGUGCGCAGGCGGAAGAUAAAGUGAGCGGGAAAAUUGAGAGGCUCAACCUCUUCGAGCCGUUGAAACUGGUUUUCUUGAGUGAGCGAGAAGUAUGCGGAAGGCGUGGUGUAGCGGUGAAAUGCAUAGAUAUCACGCAGAACUCCGAUUGCGAAGGCAGCAUACCGGCGCUCAACUGACGCUCAUGCACGAAAGUGUGGGUAUCGAACAGGAUUAGAUACCCUAGUAGUC